This is a non-coding RNA of Benincasa hispida (wax gourd), 1965 nucleotides long. The record is from RefSeq and is a predicted model, not a curated record. NCBI's taxonomy places the organism in Eukaryota, Viridiplantae, Streptophyta, Magnoliopsida, Cucurbitales, Cucurbitaceae.
UCGUCUACAGCCCCUCGUCGCCGGUGAGCGUUUCCCUCAAGCUUUACGCCGAUUUUCACUUUCUCUAGCAUCUCUUUCCAGCUUUGGUUUUCUCUCUGGUUAAGACGGACUCCGGCCUCCGCGCACCGCCCCAUCAGCCCGCCGCUCCCGUCUGCUGUUCGUCGCCGCCCGUUCAUCGCCGUCGUCCGCCGCCGGUGCUACAGUUUCGGAGUCUUAGUUUUCGUAAGAUUUGAUACAUUUAUGGGUUUUGUUGAGAGUUUUUUUAGAUACCCACUAAGAUUUGGCUUCAUUAUUAAUUUAAUUGUGAUUUAGGAGGUUGGAUUUGAAGUAUUGAGGAGUUUAAAGUCGCUGUCCAGUAGAGUUUAAGGUCGAUUUUGGCAAUUUUGUUUUGGGUCGUUACAUUUUAAGCCCGAACCUGUUUUCAUAUGUUAACAAUCUGUCCAACCCGACUCCAAAUUUUUAUUCAAUUCACCCUUGCUUACUUCGUGCUGCAUUCUGUUCAUUUUUGUUCUUUGGGUGCAGUUGAGAUUUGACAUCUGGUAGAGAAAUUUUUGUUCUUCUUUCUUCUCAUAAUGGUUUUCUCCUGUAGUUGCUUGCUUUCAUAUUUGUUCUCUUUCACCAAUUCCUGAUAUAUGUUAGAGUUUGAUCAAGGAGUCUAGAUGGGGGAGGAGAAUAAGAACAGGGGUAUAAUCCCAUCAAUGAUAAAGAACAAAGAAAAGAGGGCAGAAGUGCACGCCAACCUCAAGAACCAGAAGAAGCUUGAGAAACGCAAGAGGGCCAAGGCUCGUGAUGCUGCUGAGAAGCAAGCUCUUGAACUUGGAGAAGAACUUCCUCCUCGGAAGAUUCCUCGCACUAUUGAGAACACCAGGGAGGUUGAUGAGACUCUUUGCAAACCUGAUGAUGAAGAGCUAUUUGCUGGAAAUGAUGCUGAUGAAUUUAGUUCCAUCAUAAAGCGCGAAAUUUUGCCGAAAGUUCUAAUUACUACUUGUCGUUUUAAUUCUACUAUUGGACCUACUUUUAUAUCAGAGUUGCUUUCGGUGAUACCAAAUGCACAUUACUACAAGAGAGGAACUAAUGAUUUGAAGAAGAUUAUAGAAUAUGCAAAUGCCAAGGACUUCACUUCUUUGAUGGUUGUCCAUACGAGUAGGAGAAAAUUGGAUGGCCUUUUAAUUAUUGGCUUACCUGAGGGACCUACUGCCCAUUUUAAGAUAUCGAAUGUUGUCUUACGUAAGGACAUUAAGAAUCAUGGAAAUCCAACCAGUCAUCAGCCAGAGCUUGUAUUGACCAACUUCACAACACGCCUUGGUCUUCGUAUUGGAAGAUUAAUACAAGCACUAUUCCCUCAAGAUCCUAAUUUUCGUGGUCGACGGGUUGUAACUUUUCAUAACCAACGUGAUUUUAUAUUUUUUCGGCAUCAUCGAUACAUUUUUGAAAGCAAGGAAAAUAAAAAAGAGGCCGAUUCAAAAAAGAAGUCCAAGGAUACGAAGGGUGAGAAAGUUCCUCAGCAGAAAGUAAUUGCCCGUCUUCAGGAAUGUGGUCCUCGUUUCACAAUGAAAUUGAUCAGUUUGCAGCAUGGAACUUUCGAUUCAAAAGGCGGGGAGUAUGAAUGGGUUCAUAAACCUGAAAUGGAUACAAGCCGCAGAAGAUUUUUCUUGUGACAUUCUCGUGGAGUUCAUUACGUUUGGUUCCGGGGAGUAAAAGUUCUCUGGCUCUUAUUUAUAUAAAAUUUUGAGUGGACUGCUGAUCAAAUUCGAAUCUCCAUUUUGGCCUACGUGUGUUAGAAGUUCAUUUAUUUUUCACUAUUCAAAAUUUUGUAGCAUUGCCGUUGAGGUUGAGUUUGUUCCAGAGGAAUCAAUGUAUUGAUAUUUGAAAGCAUUUGGAUAGAAUUAUUUCUAGGAGUUGACAAUUGAAAAGAAAAAAGCCAUAUAUUCAUUCUCUUAUUUAGGGGUAAAAGGGUUGAGAUUU